This 368-nucleotide ribosomal RNA is filed under the name uncultured bacterium. RNAcentral describes it as "partial 16S ribosomal RNA". It matches the Rfam family "Bacterial small subunit ribosomal RNA", at positions 355 to 739 of the family's 1533-position model. The record is from RNAcentral.
UGGGGAAUAUUGGACAAUGGGCGCAAGCCUGAUCCAGCCAUGCCGCGUGAGUGAUGAAGGCCUUAGGGUUGUAAAGCUCUUUCGCCGGUGAAGAUAAUGACGGUAACCGGAGAAGAACGCCCCGGCUAACUUCGUGCCAGCAGCCGCGGUAAUACGAAGGGGGCUAGCGUUGCUCGGAAUCACUGGGCGUAAAGCGCACGUAGGCGGAUCGUUAAGUCAGGGGUGAAAUCCUGGNGCUCAACUCCAGAACUGCCCUUGAUACUGGCGAUCUCGAGUUCGAGAGAGGUUGGUGGAACUCCGAGUGUAGAGGUGAAAUUCGUAGAUAUUCGGAAGAACACCAGUGGCGAAGGCGGCCAACUGGCUCGAUA